GCUAAAUAAUUUCUGCUCAGCCAUGUCGCCGGCUCCAGAUGCAGCCCCGGCUCCUGCGUCGAUCUCCCUGUUUGACCUCAGCGCGGAUGCUCCGGUCCUUCAGGGCCUGAGCCUGGCUCAGGGGAGAGAGAAAGCCCAGAAAGAAAGCUACUCCAGGGUCCUAUGGAUAUUUCAGAGAAGUUAUUUUGUUCAACCUGUGACCAGACCUUCCAGAACCACCAAGAACAGAGGGAACAUUAUAAGCUUGACUGGCAUCGGUUUAACCUAAAGCAACGUCUCAAGGACAAGCCUCUCCUGUCUGCCCUGGACUUUGAAAAGCAGAGCUCCACAGGAGAUCUUUCCAGCAUCUCAGGAUCAGAAGACUCAGACUCAGCCAGUGAGGAGGACUUGCAGACACUGGAUCGGGAGAGGGCUACAUUUGAGAAGUUUAGCCGACCCCAAGGCUUUUACCCUCAUCGAGUUCUUUUCCAGAAUGCCCAGGGCCAGUUUCUUUAUGCCUACCGCUGUGUCCUAGGCCCUCAUCAGGCAAGUGACAGUACAGGUUGUAUGGCUAACCCCAGCCUUUUGUACACCCAGCCUAGAUUUCCCUAAACCUAAUGCAUUUCUCCCUGCUUUUCUUCCUU
RNAcentral lists this small RNA (623 nucleotides) under Pongo abelii (Sumatran orangutan). Its description in RNAcentral is "retained intron". The record is from RNAcentral. Lineage: Eukaryota; Metazoa; Chordata; Mammalia; Primates; Hominidae.